Molecule: transfer RNA, 76 nt
Filed under: Alistipes sp.
Lineage: Bacteria; Pseudomonadati; Bacteroidota; Bacteroidia; Bacteroidales; Rikenellaceae
Description: tRNA-His
Rfam family: tRNA
About the family: Transfer RNA (tRNA) molecules are approximately 80 nucleotides in length. Their secondary structure includes four short double-helical elements and three loops (D, anti-codon, and T loops).
Source: RNAcentral
GGUGGAUGUAGCUCAGGCGGUUAGAGUGACGGAUUGUGGUUCCGAAGGGCGAGGGUGCGAAUCCCUUCUUCCACCC